Molecule: long non-coding RNA, 377 nt
Organism: Octopus bimaculoides (California two-spot octopus)
Lineage: Eukaryota; Metazoa; Mollusca; Cephalopoda; Octopoda; Octopodidae
Source: RefSeq, a predicted model, not a curated record
UAUGAUGUUCUGCAUAUAGUUCACUGACAAACUGACACAUAUUAUUUAUUCUUUUGUGCUUGUACAAACACUGCUGUUUAAGGAUUCAACUACAAACAAUGCAAUGCCAACUUGGUAUUCAUCAAAACUAACACAGGACAAGACAAACCUAUAUCAGACAUAGAAAAUUUUUAAAUGAUAAUAAUAGUUUGAAAUUUUGGCACAAAGACAGUAAUUUUAAGGGAGCAGAUAAGCAUCCGACGAGUAUUUUAUAGAUUUACUAGCGUGCAAAAUAAAAAUAAAAACAGGUCAUCUAUGAGUUGACAGCAAGAAAAAGAUUAACUGCGAUAUAUGCAUAUUCACUCGGAAGAAUUAUAAAUAAACCAAUCAAAGAAUGC